This 1360-nucleotide ribosomal RNA is filed under the name uncultured prokaryote. RNAcentral's name for it is "partial 16S ribosomal RNA". It matches the Rfam family "Bacterial small subunit ribosomal RNA", at positions 66 to 1440 of the family's 1533-position model. The record is from RNAcentral.
ACGGUAACAGCAAGAGCUUGCUCUUGGCUGACGAGUGGCGCACGGGUGAGUAAUGUAUAGCUAACAUGCCCUAUAGAAGGGGACAACAGUUGGAAACGACUGCUAAUACCCUAUACUCCAUUUUCAAUUAAGUUGUUAAGGCAAAGAAUUUCGCUUAUGGAUGGGGCUAUAGUGUAUCAGCUUGUUGUUAGGGUAACGGCCUAACGAGGCGCUGAUACAUAGUUGGUCUAAGAGGAUGACCAGCCACACUGGAACUGAGACACGGUCCAGACUCCUACGGGAGGCAGCAGUGGGGAAUAUUGCACAAUGGGCGAAAGCCUGAUGCAGCAAUACCGCGUGGAGGAUGAAUCAUUUAGGUGUGUAAACUCCUUUUAUAUAGGAAGAUAAUGACGGUACUAUAUGAAUAAGCACCGGCUAACUCCGUGCCAGCAGCCGCGGUAAUACGGAGGGUGCAAGCGUUACUCGGAAUCACUGGGCGUAAAGAGUGUGUAGGCGGUUUGGUAAGUCAGAUGUGAAAUCCUAUGGCUCAAUCAUAGAACUGCAUUUGAAACUGCUAGACUAGAGUUAGGGAGAGGCAAAAGGAAUUAGUGGUGUAGGGGUAAAAUCCGUAGAUAUCACUAGGAAUACCAAAUGCGAAGGCAUUUUGCUGGAACUUUACUGACGCUGAGACACGAAAGCAUGGGGAGCAAACGGGAUUAGAUACCCCGGUAGUCCAUGCCGUAAACGAUGAAUGUUAGUCGUUGCAGUGCUCGUCAUUGCAGUAAUACAGUUAACACAUUAAGUGUGCCUCCUGGGGAGUACGGUCGCAAGAUUAAAACUCAAAGGAAUAGACGGGGACCCGCACAAGCGGUGGAGCAUGUGGUUUAAUUCGAAAAUACGCGAAGAACCUUACCUAGACUUGAAAUCAUUGGAAUCUUUAAGAGAUGAGAGAGUGCUAGUUUACUAGAACCAAGUGACAGGUGCUGCACGGCUGUCGUCAGCUCGUGUCGUGAGAUGUUGGGUUAAGUCCCGCAACGAGCGCAACCCUCGUGAUUAGUUGCUAACAGUUCGGGUGAGCACUCUAAUCAGACUGCCUUCGUAAGGAGGAGGAAGGUGAGGACGACGUCAAGUCAUCAUGGCCCUUAUGUCUAGGGCUACACACGUACUACAAUGGGGCAUACAAAGAGCCGCAAUACCGCGAGGUGGAGCAAAUCUCAAAAAUGCCUCCCAGUUCGGAUAGCACUCUGCAACUCGAGUGCUUGAAGUUGGAAUCGCUAGUAAUCGUAGAUCAGCCAUGCUACGGUGAAUACGUUCCCGGGUCUUGUACUCACCGCCCGUCACACCAUGGGAAUUGAACUCAUUCGAAGCGGGAAUGCUAAAG